CAGCCCUAAUUAUAUUACAAGGGCCAUUGUCUACCACUACACUACCUCCACCCCAAGAAAUUUGCAACCAAAAUUAUAACCAAGUAAAUUAGAGAAAGUGGUUGACAGAAAUAAAAUUAAGAUGUAAAAUUUCACUAAAUCUGACAAAGAAAUGUUAAGAAAAUGAAUUUUUCAGUUGAACUUUCCAUUGCUGCCCUCACUGAAAGAUGAAUGGCCAGCGCAGGUGUAGAACCACAGCACUGACUCCAACUACAUAGCCCACAAAUCCAUUGAAGAACAUUUUUGUUACCACUUUUGCCAUCAAUUAACUGGUUUUGAAUGAAAGCUUCAAAAAAAGGCCUCAGUUGUCAUGUGAGUGAUUUAAACCAAGAGUACAUACCCAAGUAGAUGGAGGCAACCAGUCCAAGAAGUCCAAACAGCAGGGUCUUCAUCUUCUCGCUUGGGUUUUCUGGCGAUCAAGAAGUGA
Molecule: long non-coding RNA, 466 nt
Organism: Alosa sapidissima (American shad)
Lineage: Eukaryota; Metazoa; Chordata; Actinopteri; Clupeiformes; Clupeidae
Exons: 2
Source: RefSeq, a predicted model, not a curated record